Molecule: ribosomal RNA, 483 nt
Filed under: Triticum aestivum (bread wheat)
Lineage: Eukaryota; Viridiplantae; Streptophyta; Magnoliopsida; Poales; Poaceae
Description: partial small subunit ribosomal RNA
Source: RNAcentral
AUGGUGCUCCUCGUCCCUGGUGAAUUUGAUCGAGCGGACGGCCUCUCCUCCCCUCGGAGCGGGUGGGUGAACGGGCCCAUCGUCCUCAGCGCCGGGCCGGCGGGCAUCGUCCUGGCCGAGAUGUUCCGGGAGCAGGGCGUGCCCUUCGUCGUCCCGGAGCCCGACGACAACUGCAUCACCUCCUUCUGGCAGAGGCGCGUCUACGACCGCCUCCGACUGCACCUCCAGUUCUGCCACCGCCGCCAGCUUGCCGAGCACCUCGAGAUCUGCCCCACCAAGCUCGACAUCGAGCAGGAGCUCCGCGGCGGGAGAUCGGCGGCACCGUCGUGCGCCCCGCCGUGGCCAGCUCCUCGGGGGCCGGCCGGUCGCUCGUCGUCGCGGCCGCCGCGUGCGGGACGUCCCUGGCCAGGCAUGCUCUGGGGACGCUGUGAUCGAGAUCCACGGCAGCGAGGGCCGGCCCGGCGAUCGAGCCGCCAGGCGUAA